Molecule: transfer RNA, 73 nt
Organism: Operophtera brumata (winter moth)
Lineage: Eukaryota; Metazoa; Arthropoda; Insecta; Lepidoptera; Geometridae
Rfam family: tRNA
About the family: Transfer RNA (tRNA) molecules are approximately 80 nucleotides in length. Their secondary structure includes four short double-helical elements and three loops (D, anti-codon, and T loops).
Source: Rfam
CGAUCUAUGGAUAAAUUGUUUAAGGCAUCGCUGACGACAGGCGAGGGUGCGGGUUCGAGUCCCGCUAGAACGG